RNAcentral lists this transfer RNA (61 nucleotides) under Dipodomys ordii (Ord's kangaroo rat). It matches the Rfam family "tRNA", at positions 6 to 65 of the family's 71-position model. Rfam says of the family: Transfer RNA (tRNA) molecules are approximately 80 nucleotides in length. Lineage: Eukaryota; Metazoa; Chordata; Mammalia; Rodentia; Heteromyidae. The record is from Rfam by way of RNAcentral.
UGUGGCUUAGUGGAGAGCGCUUGCCUAGCAUGCAAGAGGCCCUGGGUUCAAUUCCUCAGUA